UAAGCGGAGGAAAAGAAACCAACAGGGAUUGCCUCAGUAACGGCGAGUGAAGCGGCAAAAGCUCAAAUUUUAAAGCUGGCACCUCCGGUGUCCGCGUUGUAAUUUUGUGAGGCAUCUCCGGGUGGGGCGCCGGCCUAAGUUCCUUGGAACAGGACGUCAUAGAGGGUGAGAAUCCCGUGCUUGGCUGGCUGUCCCCGUCCAUGUGAGGUGUCUUCGACGAGUCGAGUUGUUUGGGAAUGCAGCUCAAAAUGGGUGGUAAAUUUCAUCUAAAGCUAAAUAUUGGUGGGAGACCGAUAGCGCACAAGUAGAGUGAUCGAAAGAUGAAAAGCACUUUGAAAAUAGAGUUAAAAAGUACGUGAAAUUGUUGAAAGGGAAGCGCUUGAGACCAGACUUCGGUGGGGAGUGAUCAGCCGUCCUUCUGGGCGGUGCACUUGCCCCCCUCCGGGCCAGCAUCGGUUGGGACGGCGGGAUAAAGGUCCCGGGAAUGUGGCUCCUCUCGGGGAGUGUUAUAGCCCGGGUGAAUGCCGCCAGCCCCGACCGAGGACCGCGCCUUCGGGCUAGGAUGCUUGGCAUAAUGGUCUUCAGCGACCCGUCUUGA
RNAcentral lists this ribosomal RNA (598 nucleotides) under Morchella americana. RNAcentral's name for it is "partial 28S ribosomal RNA". It matches the Rfam family "Eukaryotic large subunit ribosomal RNA", at positions 47 to 657 of the family's 3401-position model. Lineage: Eukaryota; Fungi; Ascomycota; Pezizomycetes; Pezizales; Morchellaceae. The record is from RNAcentral.